Molecule: ribosomal RNA, 497 nt
Filed under: uncultured bacterium
Lineage: Bacteria
Description: partial 16S ribosomal RNA
Rfam family: Bacterial small subunit ribosomal RNA
Source: RNAcentral
GACGAACGCUGGCGGCGUGCCUAAUACAUGCAAGUUGAGCGCUGAAGGUUGGUACUUGUACCAACUGGAUGAGCAGCGAACGGGUGAGUAACGCGUGGGGAAUCUGCCUUUGAGCGGGGGACAACAUUUGGAAACGAAUGCUAAUACCGCAUAAAAACUUUAAACACAAGUUUUAAGUUUGAAAGAUGCAAUUGCAUCACUCAAAGAUGAUCCCGCGUUGUAUUAGCUAGUUUGUGAGGUAAAGGCUUACCAAGGCGAGGAUACAUAGCCGACCUGAGAGGGGGAGCGGCCAAAUUGGGACUGAGACACGGCCCAAACUCCUACGGGAGGCAGCAGUAGGGAAUCUUCGGCAAUGGACGAAAGUCUGACCGAGCAACGCCGCGCGAGUGAAGAAGGUUUUCGGAUCGUAAAACUCUGUUGGUAGAGAAGAACGUUGGUGAGAGUGGAAAGCUCAUCAAGUGACGGUAACUACCCAGAAAGGGACGGCUAACUACGUG